Molecule: long non-coding RNA, 209 nt
Filed under: Elaeis guineensis (African oil palm)
Lineage: Eukaryota; Viridiplantae; Streptophyta; Magnoliopsida; Arecales; Arecaceae
Description: long non-coding RNA (EGUI_LNC047552)
Source: RNAcentral
AAGUGAGGUUUUGAUUUAGAAUUUAUUUAGAUUUAAUUUUUAUUUAAAAUUAAUACAAGAAUAUAAUUUUGAAUAAUAGGCAUUGAAGAAUCUCCUAGAGAUUAAUCGAUCUAUUCAUUCAGUGGUCUGUAAAAGAUAGGCAAUGAAUUAUUUUUUUGAGAUAUUUCAUAUUUAUUUUAAAGAUUAAAUAAUUAUUCUUUGAAGUUAUG